RNAcentral lists this ribosomal RNA (407 nucleotides) under Verrucomicrobiota bacterium. Its description in RNAcentral is "Verrucomicrobia bacterium partial 16S ribosomal RNA". It matches the Rfam family "Bacterial small subunit ribosomal RNA", at positions 355 to 776 of the family's 1533-position model. Lineage: Bacteria; Pseudomonadati; Verrucomicrobiota. The record is from RNAcentral.
UGGGGAAUAUUGGACAAUGGAGGAAACUCUGAUCCAGCAAUUCUGUGUGUGUGAAGAAGGUUUUAGGACUGUAAAACACUUUUAGUAGGGAAGAAAAAAAUGACGGUACCUACAGAAGAAGCAACGGCUAAAUACGUGCCAGCAGCCGCGGUAAUACGUAUGUUGCGAGCGUUAUCCGGAAUUAUUGGGCUUAAAGGGCAUCUAGGCGGUAAGACAAGUUGAAGGUGAAAACCUGUGGCUCAACCAUAGGCUUGCCUACAAAACUGUUGAACUAGAGUACUGGAAAGGUGGGUGGAGCUACACGGGUAGAGGUGAAAUUCGUAGAUAUGUGUAGGAAUGCCGAUGAUGAAGAUAACUCACUGGACAGCAACUGACGCUGAAGUGCGAAAGCUAGGGGAGCAAACAGG